AGAAAAGCUUGUUUCCAUUUGUCACACUCUGUUCUUGUUCUGUGUGUAAAGAGGUUGCUAUGGGAUUAUUUUCUAGAGUUACAACCUCCAUAUAUAAUCUGAGAAGAUCAUGCUGAGAAGAAAUGCACCAUAAGGCAAGUCAGAUGAGAUGCUUGCUGGUCAUCAAGAAAGUGGCACUCACAUUUUGAAGCCAAUCCAAACCAAGAGGUAGCAAUUCUCCCAACAGUCCCCUGUGAUGAGGAAUCCCCACUAAGGAUUUAGGUUCUCCCUGCAGAUAUUGCCUGUGAGGCCCCAUAUUACAUUGAGGACACCAAGGGCAUGGUUGCCAAGGGGAAAGCUGACCACCUAGUAAGUUCAGUGAACAGGUAUGAGACAAAAAAUAAAAUGUGUUCAUGUGGAAGAUUCAGAAGGCCACCACCCUGCUUAGUGCUCAGGGGUGGGAAUCUGGAAUGCUGUGUUUCUCCCUUGUCAGCUUCAGUCAGCUUCAGUUAGCAGCAAGUAAAAGGAAGACUGUAAAGCUGGAGGAGGGAGAAAGGGACUGCUCCCAGCUCCUCGUCCCCUGUCCCCAGCAGUGAACCCUGGCAGUGGCAGCUGCUUCCAGUAGCAACAGUUGGUUCCAGUUCCCAGGGGUUUUUCCCUAUGUUCCCAGAACCUGGCUCAUUACAACUCCUUAGAAUCCCAUUACAAACCAACCAGGUCUCCCUCUUCCAAGGUCUGGGUCUCAGCUCUGCUGGUUCUGCAAAGAUCCUCUCCUCUGAGCUCCUGAGCAAACACAUAGCAAAGGGAUCUGCUUCAACCCAACAGAACAGAAUCGCAUUUUCUGUGGCCAUCAGCAUUCAGUCCUGGAGACAUGCCUGCAUUUACAGAGAUGGAGCCAAGCACCAAAGUCAACAUGGUUCUUAAAAAAUUACUUACACCAUUUAAAAAUACUCCUUCUGUACUACAAGUAACACACAGAGUUUCAACAUCAUGGGGUUUUACCAGCACGUAACAAAUUUCUCCAUGAAUUUGUCUCCAAGGUGGGGCUCGACAUCCAUUUGAAAAUUCAUAAUCUGAAACCAAUUAUCGAUCAAUUAAAAGGAGC
Molecule: long non-coding RNA, 1084 nt
Organism: Canis lupus familiaris (dog)
Lineage: Eukaryota; Metazoa; Chordata; Mammalia; Carnivora; Canidae
Exons: 3
Source: RefSeq, a predicted model, not a curated record